AACGGCCGCGGCAUUCUNACCGUGCAAAGGUANNGUAAUCNCUUGUCUUCUAAAUAAAGACCAGUAUGAACGGCUAAAUGAGGACAAACCUGUCUCCUACAACAAAUCAGUGAAACUGAUCUCCCAGUACAAAAGCUGGGAUAAACACAUAAGACGAGAAGACCCUGUGGAGCUUACAANUAAAUGGUCAACAAAUUUACCACCAAAACAACAAUGAUCAUAUAGUUUAAGUUGGGGCGACUUCGGAAAAAAACAAAACUUCCGAGAAAUGGGCCACCUAACCCACCAUAAGGGGUACAACCCUAAAGCACUAACGUGAUUAGACCCAGUCAAACUGAUUAACGAACCAAGUUACCCCAGGGAUAACAGCGCCAUCUUCUUCGAGAGUCCAUAUCGACAAGAAGGUUUACGACCUCGAUGUUGGAUCAGGACACCCAAAUGGUGCAGCAGCUAUUAAAGGUUCGUUUGUUCAACGAUUAACAGUCCUACGUGAUC
RNAcentral lists this ribosomal RNA (495 nucleotides) under Acontias orientalis morph lineacauda. Its description in RNAcentral is "partial 16S ribosomal RNA". It matches the Rfam family "Bacterial large subunit ribosomal RNA", at positions 1926 to 2605 of the family's 2925-position model. Lineage: Eukaryota; Metazoa; Chordata; Lepidosauria; Squamata; Scincidae. The record is from RNAcentral.